CGCGUAAGAACCUGCCCUUGGGAGGGGAACAACAGCUGGAAACGGCUGCUAAUACCCCAUAGGCUGAGGAGCAAAAGGAAGGAAAUCCGCCCAACGGAGGGGCGUCGCGUCUGAUUAGUUAGUUGGUGAGGCAAUGGCUUACCAAGGCGACGAUCAGUAGCUGGUCCGAGAGGAUGAUCAGCCACACUGGGACUGAGACACGGCCCAGACUCCUACGGGAGGCAGCAGUGGGGAAUUUUCCGCAAUGGGCGAAAGCCUGACGGAGCAAUGCCGCGUGAAGGCAGAAGGCCCACGGGUCAU
Molecule: ribosomal RNA, 300 nt
Filed under: uncultured bacterium
Lineage: Bacteria
Description: bacterial SSU rRNA
Rfam family: Bacterial small subunit ribosomal RNA
Source: RNAcentral